UGUCAUUGGCCCGUGCCUCCUCGGUCCCGCGGCUGGUCCCGCCCCCCUGAGGGCGAGCUCUGGCUCCCAUUGGACCGUCGGCGAGGGGAGGGGUGAGCUAUAAAUGGAGAAUAGGUCCACGUGACAGUUUGGCAGCUGCUCCUCUCCCCCCACCCCUCACAACCCUCCGCUUCUGAGGCUGCGCAGGGGGCGGAAGGGCUUAGAGUAGAGCCUUGAUUUUGCCGCCUCUUCCAGGAAGUCUUCCCAGACACUCAGCUGUAAAAGUGGAGGUUCAGGCCAGCUAAGACGGACGUCCUCCCAUAAAAUGAUGCUUCUCAGCGUGGCCAGCUUCACGGGCGUGCAACCGGCUUGGAAGGACCCCGCGCUUGGUUUAAUGGUCUGCUGUUACAGUCUUGAAGUUCUUAUAUUUUGAACAAGGGGCCCCACAUUUUCAUUUUGCCCUGGGCCUUUCAAAUUAUGUAGCCAGAUUUGCUUCUAAGAGUAUAAGAUCGGUUAUAUCCCCAAUUCUGGAAUUAUAAGGCUCUGGGUGGAAGAGUCUAUGAUUCGACCAGAACAGAAUCUAAGCAUCUUUUGUCUCCCCGAUGCUCGAGGCUUUGCGCUCACCGUUCUAGAUUCCAGGGGCCUUUGUUCUCCGUUCUAAGAGGCUUUGUUCUCAGCCUUCUGAGAUGCUCUGUUCUCAACGUUCUGUGGUCCUGAGAGUCUGAGCCUGACAUUGGUUUCCAAGGUUCCCUCCUCCCUCCUCUGGCUCCGCGAGCGGGGCUGGCGCCCCCUCAGGCGGCCAGCCUGUGUCACUACGCCGAGUGUGCGUCCCUACAAGCUUCAAGAUGUAGUUCCAAUAUUCAUACCCAUUUCUCAGACAGACCUUGACUCUUUAAAAGCCAGGGACCCGAAGAUCACGUGAGAACGUCCCCAUUUUAUGACCUCCUGCGCACCAGGCGACCUCCCAGUCGUGAGCCGGAGAAGCAACGGCAGGGAUUGAGGGCAAAAAGAUUGCCUGGGGGUGAGCCGCAGCUCUGCCACUUUCCAGCUGUGUAACCUUGGGAAACUUGCUUAACCUCUCUGUGCCUCAAUUUCCUCAUCUGUGUAAUGGGGGUCAUAACACUGUCUGCCUCGUACAGUUGUUAUGAGGCGUAAAUGAGAGAUUUGUCACUUUGACACUUGGAGCAGUGUCUUCCAGGUAUAAAAAGCCACAAAAGGGUCUGGAAAAUAAGCACAAAAUAACGUAGUGAGCCCCAAGGAGACAAAUGAGUCUGGACUUUAGUAGGGACAAACUUUACUCAGUCUCCCUCUUGUUUAAGACAGAACUACACCGUCCUUAAACGGCCUUAAUUUUCCAACAAGGGAGAGAUGACACGGACUGACCCUGGGCGGAUAUGGAGAGCUCACUCUCCAACAAGAUUUUCUUAAUGUCUGCGGUGAUGUCGGGACUGGCUUUUCGUCCCUGCUGUUUGUGCAAGACCUGUUGAACCAUUUGAUGUGUAAAAUGUUGGAUCUGGAGCCGACUGAGGGCACCAGGCAUUUGAAGAUGAGUAUUCCUGGGAAGAGAAAUCCAAAGAGAACUAUUCAUGGUUGAAUAAGGGCCUAAAACCAAGAUCUGAGGCCAGACGGCAGCCAGUCGAGAGGGUUCCAAGAAGGAGGUGAGAAGAGAUCCUUGGUUGGUGGCGUCAGAACGGCGGUAGCAACUGGGCAGACUGCCUUGUCGGCUUCUCCAUCUUCUUGUUUGUGGUGAUAAUGUCUGAGUUCCUGAGGAACAGGCAGGAGUUGCUCCCAACCACAGCACACAAGUUCCUCCCCUGGAAGCCCCUUGCCUGGGUACAGACGUCGCCUGAAUAUGGUCGGAGGCCAUGUCAGAUCCUUGGAAUUUACUCCCAAGCAUCUGGCUUCUUAUUCACGCCUCCUUUAGAUCCUAAGGAAAAAAGAGAUCACGGUCAUCCCGGAUCUUGUGUCUGCAUGGUGAUUUUCAGCCCCCACACGAUUUGGCAGACCCCUUCGUCUGUGAGGACUUGGGGGUUUGAGAAGAGAGUGAAUUUUAUCGAUAGAAUGAAGGGAAUCGAAACUCUGACAAGAUAACUGGAGCCCAUUCGGCUGGUGGACAGACACCAGUCUGCAAAACCUCCACACACAGAGUCUGCAUCCUUGGGGUCCAUCCAAGCCACAUAAAAAUAAUUGUCUUGUUUAUUUGAGCGGUCAGAAAAUAAGUGUUGAUUAAAGGUGGAAAACCAAGAAGAAGCUGCCGGGGACAGGACUGGGCUAUGAGAUGAGUCAUAAGAGGAGUGAUGCCACUGAUCCCAAGAGAAAUUGUCAGCAGCAUCAGUUGACUUGAGUGACCCAGGCUGAGUGAGAUUUUUUUUUUUUUUUUUUUUUAGGAAGAUUAGCCCUGAGCUAACUGCUGCCAAUCCUCCUCUUUCUGCUGAGGAAGACUGGCCCUGAGCUAACAUCCGUGCCCAUCUUCCUCUACCUUAUACGUGGGACGCCUGCCACAGCAUGGCUUGCCAAGCUGUGCCAUGUCCACACCCAGGAUCCGAACCGGUGAACCCCAAGCUGCCAAAGCAGAACGUGUGCACUUAACCACUGCACCACCAGGCCGGCCCUGAGUAAGAUUUUGAUAGCCGGAAGCCCCAGGUGAGCUCAGUGAGGAGGUGGUGCCCGCCAUUAGGGUUGUUACGGUGGCAUUUCCCAUAUAAAAGGUCCAGCAAUUCCAGAGACUGAGUUCGAUGAAGGGGCUGUUAGGGACGUUGUGCCAGAAGCACAUGAAUCCUGAUUCAUCGAUGGUAGGGGUCCCGGGAGGUUCCUGCGACAAUCAAUGGAUACUUUGCGUCCCUAUGAGCUUGGGGGAGAUAUGGAGCGUCAGUGAGUGAGCUGUCGAAAUGAACUGAGCAGACGAGAAGCUCAUCCACAUACUGGAUUCAAGAGAAAUUGCAAGGGAAGACCCAACCCCGAAAAGAGCAUUCAGAGUCCCAGAAAAGUCAGGCUCCGGGGGCCCCUGGGGGCAUAACCGUUGGAGCAUAUUGUUGACUUCCCCAGGUGAAAGCAGAAAGGGACUGUGAGUCGGGAUGGAGAGGGACGUGAAAGAAAGCAGAGGAAAUGCUAAGACAUUCAAACGGGUGGUGCUGGAGGUACACGUGGAGCCCAGGAUGGUGUUUCAAGUGGCAACUGGCGAGAACCUCUUUGAUUGACGGCCUCCAGGUCUUGGACCAGCGAGCAUCCUCAUGGUAACACUGGGGCUCCUGACGGACAAGAUGGGAGAGUUGCAGGGGCCCGAGCGGUAUUCGGAGGCCCUGAGUGAUGGGUUGGAGGCCCUGCGGGGCCUCUGGUGUCAGAGCAUGUUAAGACAGUUCCAGGAGGGACAUAAAAAGAUCUGUUUCCACUUUAAGAGGUUCAGCCUCCGGGGCCGGCCCGUUGGUGCAACGGUUAAGUGUGCAUGCUCUGCUUUGGUGGCCCGGGGUUCGCUGGUUCGGAUCCCGGCUGCGGACAUGGCACCACUUGGCAUGCCAUACUGUGGUAGGCGGCCCACAUAUAAAGUAGAGGAAGAUGGGGCACGGAUGUUAGCUCAGGGCCAGUCUUCCUCAGCAAAAAGAGGAGGAUUGGCAGCAGUUAGCUCAGGGCUAAUCUUCCUCAAGAAAAAAAAAGAAGAGGUUCAGCCUCUGAGAUGCACCUUCUCUUUGUUGAGUUGGGGGCCCAAAGAGAAGCAGGAGUGCGGGUCAGCCUAUCUGGAUGAUGCGGGCUGGACGGAGAGGCUGCCGGGUGUUUUUGGGGGGGGGAGGUGCGGAAGGUUAGGGGACUAAGAUGGACAGGAGCAGUCAGGGACCAUGAGAAACAGGCUGUCUCGUAAACGUGAUAAUCCUAACUUUCCAGAUUGAUAGAAUAGCCCUUCUGACAAGACUGAUUCGAGUAGUUUGAGUAAGAAACUACGCUGGGUAGGAAGGAGCCUAAUGAAACAGGCAGUGGCUUGGACAAGCGUAAGCCAUGUGUUAAAUGAUGGUGUUUCCUCCUGAUCGUUGUUGUGAACUGAGGGAGGAGGGGGGGCUGUGAGAUAUUUGUGGGGGAUGGUGUGGCUCCUGGAUCUACUGAAAUGGGGCAGAAUGCCAUUCACGGGGAUGGUCAUUUCCCCUGUGUGGGUUGAGGGCUAUUUAUGAACCCAGAGGAGAAAGUCUGCUGGAAGGGCAUCCUUGGGGAGACUCAGUGUUACACUGAAAUUCCUUUUUGUAUUUUAAAGCCCAGUGUCGAAUACUACACAGCCAUAAAAAAAGAUGGACUCUUGCCACUUGGGACAACAUGGAUGGACCUUGAGGGUGUUAUGUAAAGUGAAAUAAAUCAGACAGAGAAAGUCAAAUACCGUAUGAUGUCACUCGUAUGUGGAAGAUAAAACAACAAACAGAGAUACAGAGAACAGAUUGGUGGUUUCCAGAGGGGGAGAGGGGUGGAGGGAGGGCGACAAGGGUAAGGGGGCACAUUUAUGCAGCGAUGGAUGGAAACUGGACUUUUAGUGCUGGACACAAUGCAGUCUAUACACAAAUUGAAAUAUAAUGAAAUACACCUGAAAUUUAUAUAGUGUUAUAAGCCAAUGUGACCUCAAUAAAAAAUUAAUUUUUAAAAAAGUCUAAUGGCCCUUUUCUUUACAGUACCUACAAGUCUCUAUCAAGAUUAAGUUUCAUGGGGCUGGCCUGGUCACGCAGCGGUUAAGUUCGCACAUUCUGCUUGGGCAGCCUGGAGUUCACCGGUUCAGAUCCCCAGUGAGGACAUGGCACCGCUUGGCGAAAGCCAUGCUGUGGCAGGCGUCCCACAUAUAAAGUGGAGGAAGAUGGACAUGGAUGUUAGCUCAGGGCCAGUCUUCCUCAGCAAAAAGAGGAGGAUUGGCAGCAGAUGUUAGCUCAGGGCUAAUCUUCCUCAAACAAAAAGAAAAGAAAAAGAUUAAGUUUCAUGGUAUCCAAUGGCCCUGAUAGGAUGGAUUUUUUUUUCACCUCUAAUUGUGUAAGUUGUGGGGCUUUAAGUUGCACUGUGUGGAUUUGAUUUUAUCUGCCGUGGCGUCCUCUUGACGUUGGGCUAGCUUGUGGGAUUCUGUAACCGAGGCAUUUGGCCAGUUAACAUUAUGUUUUUGAUCACUUCUCCCAUUUCUGGUCUCAGGAUGCUAACAAAAUUAGUGGCCAAGAUAGAAGCCCUGUCAAGGACGAGGCCUGAGGAGUCUUUCCAGACAUUUCCCAGUCUGGAUCUAUCACUGGAGACGGAUUCAACCCUCUGUCGUCUACACUCAUGGAUCUUGGACCAAUCCGUUUUAGAGGGAGCGGCAUUCAGGAUGGAGGCUAAGACGUUCCCCAACAGUAGAGCUCGGAUUUUGCCUGCGAGCUGCUCUGGCUCAUUUGGAGAGCCUCAUUGACAGGCUCACUCGGAGAUUUCAAAUCGAAGAGCUGCAGCUCCGGAACCGACCAGCAGGUGGACUCGUUGCUAUAAAUUGGGAAGUCCUGGACAGUUCCCGAUACCACCCUAAAUUGGCCGCUAAAUACCGCCCUGUUUUUGCAGGGCGCAGGAAAGUCUUUAAUAUGGCGUGUGAGUCUGAGUGUGACCCAAGGUUUAAAGAGAACUCGUCCACGUGCAUGCUUGGAUGGCCCCCUCAGCUGUGGGGCCAAAAGUCUGGGUGACAACGGGAAGCUGUGGAGCUGGAGGGCAGGGGUCAAAAGAGGAGAGAGCUUCUCUUUACCCACAACCCCAGGGCCAAGAUGAAGGUUUUUGGGGGGUUUUUCUGAGGAAGAUUAGCCCUGAGUUAACAUCUGUUGCCAAUCCUCCUCUUUUUGCUGAGGAAGACUGGCCCUGAGCUAACACCCGUGCCCAUCUUCCUCUACUUUAUAUGUGGGACGCCUGCCACAGCAUGGCUUGCCAUGACCAGUGCCAUGCACCCAGGAUCCGAACCGGCGAACCCCGGGCCACCAAAGCAGAACAUAUGCACUUAACCGCUGCACCACCAGGCCAGCCCCCAAGAUGAAGUUUAAGAAGUCAGCUCAGGGCCCAGCCCUGCGGCCAAGUGGUUAAAGUUCCGUGUGCUCCCCUCUGGUGGCCCGGGUUCGUGGGUUCAGAUCCCCAGCACAGACCUAAUCCACUCACCAGCCACGCUGUGCAGGUGUCUCACAUACAAAAAAAGAGGAGGACUGACACAGAUGUUAUCUCAGAGCAAAUCUUCCUCAGCAAAAAGAAGUAGUCAGCUCAGACGAGCCACCCUCACAGACCCCCAGGCACCCUCUAGGCUGCCCCACCCUCCUGGGCUCCCCCAGCCCAGCCCACUCUGGGUCAUCACUGUCCAGAGACUGUCUCCCCACUGGGUGGUGAACGCCCUGAAGGCGGCGCCUGGGCUGUCUCGGUCACCAGUGUGCCCAGCAUCACUCAGCACUAGUGUGACAAACGGAUGAACCAGUGAACGAGCACAUUCAGUGUGUGAAGUCACCACCUCAAUUCAAAAGAAACAUACUAAACAUCG
This 6466-nucleotide long non-coding RNA is filed under the name Equus caballus (horse). RNAcentral describes it as "lncRNA (ENSECAG00000048662.1)". The record is from RNAcentral. Lineage: Eukaryota; Metazoa; Chordata; Mammalia; Perissodactyla; Equidae.